AUGAUCAUACUUCAUAGGAUCAAUUCUAUAGUGUGAUUGCCGAGUCCCUCGUCUAGAAACUCGGAUCAAAUUCAACCACCAUGAAGAUUUUCAGUGUCAUCCUCUGAGCGGGAAGCUGCUCUUAAGUUCAUUUUAAGAGCAUUGAUGACCGUUCUGGCUCGGCCUGUCCAUGUCCAGAAGAGGAUGACACAGGCUGAGUGGU
RNAcentral lists this small nucleolar RNA (202 nucleotides) under Penaeus japonicus. RNAcentral describes it as "small nucleolar RNA U3". It matches the Rfam family "Small nucleolar RNA U3". From Rfam's summary of the family: Small nucleolar RNAs (snoRNAs) are involved in the processing and modification of rRNA in the nucleolus. The record is from RNAcentral. Lineage: Eukaryota; Metazoa; Arthropoda; Malacostraca; Decapoda; Penaeidae.